This 394-nucleotide ribosomal RNA is filed under the name uncultured bacterium. RNAcentral's name for it is "bacterial SSU rRNA". It matches the Rfam family "Bacterial small subunit ribosomal RNA", at positions 28 to 416 of the family's 1533-position model. The record is from RNAcentral.
GACGAACGCUGGCGGCGCGCUUAACACAUGCAAGUCGAGCGAGAACCAGCCCUUCGGGGCUGGGAAAGCGGCGAACGGGUGAGUAACACGUGGGUAAUCUGCCCUCGGCACCGGAAUAGCCCGGGGAAACCCGGAUUAAUGCCGGAUGGCCUCUCGAGCUCUCGAGCUCGUGAGAAAAGGUAGCUUCGGCCUCCGGCCGAGGAUGAGCCCGCGGUCGAUUAGCUUGUUGGUGAGGUAAUGGCNCACCAAGGCGACGAUCGAUAGCUGGUCUGAGAGGACGAUCAGCCACACUGGGACUGAGACACGGCCCAGACUCCUACGGGAGGCAGCAGUGGGGAAUCUUGCGCAAUGGGCGAAAGCCUGACGCAGCGACGCCGUGUGCGGGAAGAAGGCU